RNAcentral lists this ribosomal RNA (253 nucleotides) under uncultured bacterium. RNAcentral's name for it is "partial 16S ribosomal RNA". It matches the Rfam family "Bacterial small subunit ribosomal RNA", at positions 524 to 776 of the family's 1533-position model. The record is from RNAcentral.
UACGUAGGGACCAAGCGUUGCUCGGAAUCACUGGGCGUAAAGCGCACGUAGGCGGAUUGCUAAGUCAGGGGUGAAAUCCUGGAGCUCAACUCCAGAACUGCCUUUGAUACUGGCGAUCUCGAGUCCGGGAGAGGUGAGUGGAACUGCGAGUGUAGAGGUGAAAUUCGUAGAUAUUGGGUGGAACACCGGUGGCGAAAGCGGCUCUCUGGCCCGGAUCUGACGCUGAGGCGCGAAAGCGUGGGGAGCAAACAGG